Molecule: ribosomal RNA, 429 nt
Filed under: uncultured bacterium
Lineage: Bacteria
Description: bacterial SSU rRNA
Rfam family: Bacterial small subunit ribosomal RNA
Source: RNAcentral
UGGGGAAUUUUGCACAACGGGCGAAAGCCUGAUGCAGCGACGCCACGUGGAGGAUGAAGGUCUUCGGAUUGUAAACUCCUGUUGAGUGGAAAGAAAUACGCGUAGUUAAUACCUGCGCGGGAUGACGGUACCACUAAAGAAAGCUCUGGCUAACUUCGUGCCAGCAGCUGCGGUAAUACGAAGGGAGCAAGCGUUAUUCGGAAUGACUGGGCGUAAAGGGUGCGUAGGCGGCUUAUUAAGUCGGUUGUUAAAUUCCAUGGCCUAACUGUGGACCGGCAAUCGAAACUGAUUGGCUAGAGGAUAAGAGAGAGAAGUGGAAUUCUCGGAGUAGCGGUUAAAUGCGUAGAUCUCGAGAGGAACACCGAUUGCGAAGGCAGCUUCUUGGCUUAUUCCUGACGCUGAGGCACGAAAGCGUGGGGAGCAAACAGG